This 452-nucleotide ribosomal RNA is filed under the name uncultured bacterium. Its description in RNAcentral is "bacterial SSU rRNA". It matches the Rfam family "Bacterial small subunit ribosomal RNA", at positions 8 to 507 of the family's 1533-position model. The record is from RNAcentral.
AGAGUUUGAUCAUGGCUCAGAACGAACGCUGGCGGCAUGCCUAACACAUGCAAGUCGAACGAGACCUUCGGGUCUAGUGGCGCACGGGUGCGUAACGCGUGGGGAUCUGCCCUUUGCUUCGGAAUAACAGUUAGAAAUGACUGCUAAUACCGGAUGAUGACUUCGGUCCAAAGAUUUAUCGGCAAAGGAUGAACCCGCGUAGGAUUAGCUAGUUGGUGGGGUAAAGGCCUACCAAGGCGACGAUCCUUAGCUGGUCUGAGAGGAUGAUCAGCCACACUGGGACUGAGACACGGCCCAGACUCCUACGGGAGGCAGCAGUGGGAAUAUUGGACAAUGGGCGAAAGCCUGAUCCAGCAAUGCCGCGUGAGUGAUGAAGGCCUUAGGGUUGUAAAGCUCUUUUACCCGGGAUGAUAAUGACAGUACCGGGAGAAUAAGCUCCGGCUAACUCCGUG